This 2290-nucleotide long non-coding RNA is filed under the name Salmo salar (Atlantic salmon). RNAcentral describes it as "lncRNA (ENSSSAG00000096014.1, ENSSSAG00020084502.1)". Lineage: Eukaryota; Metazoa; Chordata; Actinopteri; Salmoniformes; Salmonidae. The record is from RNAcentral.
CAAAGCUGAAAGUAGUUGGUUGUUGUUAGCUAGCUACUGUUUUUGACAAUCCCAAAUGUAAUCAUCUUCCAUCAGUCGUCAUCCUGUCUUUCAUAGCUCAUAUGCUGGCACGAUGUGUAAGCUUAACUUUCCUUUAUGUUUUAUGAAUACUUUCAUGUUGUUGUUUAGCCAUUUCUAUGACUUUUACCAGAUCUAAAAGAUUGCUAGCCAAAACAGUAUUGCAUUUAGACUAGCUGUUUGCUAUCCCCAUUGAAAUGUAGCUAUGUAUCCUCUGUUUUCGUCAUGCUAGCUAAUAAGUAUGUGUGUUUCUAUGCAAAUGUACAGUAUGUUCAUAUUGAUAUACGUACCCAUUCUACUUACUGUAUGUCUUUCGACCUGUUGCCAAGGAGACCCUCGACAUGAGAAGACUGGAGGCCAUUGUUGGUUACAUGGUGGAGAAGUGUGGCUGCGACAAAAAAGAGGAUUUGAAGAUAGGUUUCCAGUGAGAGUGCUUCCUGGCCCAAGACCAAUCCACAUCCAGGUCUCAGGCAUCAACACAUCAACCCUCUCAGUUAUUGGAAGAGAGUUUCUCUUGCGAUGAUCGUGGACUUCAGGAAACAACAGAGGGAGCACCUCCCUAUCCACAUCGAUGGGACUGCAGUGGAGAAGGUGGAAAGCUUCAAGUUCCUCGGCAUACACAUCACUGACAAACUGAAAUGGUCCACCGACACAGACAGUGUGGUGAAGAAGGCGCAACAGUUCCUCUUCAACCUCAGGAGGUUAAGAAAUUUGGCUUGGCCCCUAAGACCCUCACAAACUUGUACAGAUGCACAAUUGAGAGCAUCCUGUCGGGCUGUAUCACCGCCUGGUACGGCAACUGCACCGCCCACAACCGCAAAGCUCUCCAGUCUGCCCAACGCAUUAGCGGAGGCAAAUUUCCUGCCCUCCUGGACACCUACAGCACCCACGAUGCCAUAGGAAGGCCAAACAGAUCAUCAAGAACCUCAACCACCAGAGCCACUGCCUGUUCACCCCGCUAUCAUCCAGAAGGUGAGGUCAGUACAGGUGCAUCAAAGCUGGGACCGAGAGACUGAAAAACAGCUUCUAUCUCAGGGACAUCAGACUGUUAAACAGCCAUCACUAGCACAUCAGAGGCGGCUGCCUAUAGACAUAGAUUAUGAAUCACUGGCCACUUUUAGAAAUGGAUCACUAGCCACUUUAAUAAUGUUCUGUAUCUAGCGUUACUCAUCUCAAAUGUAUAAACUGCACUCCACACUAUUCUACGGUAUCUUAGUCACUUUUAAAUUGUGUUUACAUAUUGCAUCACCCAUUUCAUAUGUAUAUACUGUAUUGUAUUCUAUACUACACCACUGACUGUUAAACAGCCAUCUCCAGCACAUCAGAGGCUGCUGCCUAUAGACAUAGAUUAGGAAUCACUGGCCACUUUAAGGAAAUGAAACACUAGCCACUUUAAUAAUGUCUCCAUAUCUUGCAUUACUCAUCUCAUAUGUGUAAACUGUACUCUAUACUAUUCUACGGUAUCUUAGUCACUUUUAAAUUGUGUUUACAUAUUGCAUCACCCAUUUCAUAUGUAUAUACUGUAUUGUAUUCUAUACUACACCACUGACUGUUAAACAGCCAUCUCCAGCACAUCAGAGGCUGCUGCCUAUAGACAUAGAUUAGGAAUCACUGGCCACUUUAAGGAAAUGAAACACUAGCCACUUUAAUAAUGUCUCCAUAUCUUGCAUUACUCAUCUCAUAUGUGUAAACUGUACUCUAUACUAUUCUACGGUAUCUUCGUCACUUUAAUUGUGUGUAAAUUUCGCAUCACCCAUCUCAUAUGUAUAUACUGUACUCUGUACUAUGCCCCUGUAACUUAGUCCAGUGCCGCUCUGACAUAUAUGUAUAUAUAUAUAUUCUUAAUCCAUUCCUUACUUAGAUUUACGUGUACUUUGGGUAUAUGUUGUGAAACUGUUAGAUAUUACUGCACUGUCGGAGCUAGAAACACAAGCAUUUCGCUACACCCGCAAUAACAUCUGCUAAACACAAGGAAUGUGAACAAUAAAAUUUUAUUUUAUUUUAUUUGACCCCAUUUUCAAAUCAUGCGACCCCAUAUGGGACCACGACCCAUAGUUUGGGAAACGGCGCAGUAGUGAAACAAGACGAUGUCAAUAGUGAUUUUGAAUAAGCAAACAGCAGUAAAUGUGUCAUUUUUCAAUAGUAAUUGAAAAGGGUUUAUGUAGGAAAUGAAAAAUAAUCAGGAGCAAUUCAGUAGUGAUCAGUAGUGACAACACCACACACAGAAAUGGCC